GGUGGAUUAGCGGUUAAGCACUCAGCUGCUAACUGAAAAGUUGGCGGUUCGAACCCACCAUCCACUC
RNAcentral lists this transfer RNA (67 nucleotides) under Loxodonta africana (African savanna elephant). It matches the Rfam family "tRNA". Rfam says of the family: Transfer RNA (tRNA) molecules are approximately 80 nucleotides in length. Lineage: Eukaryota; Metazoa; Chordata; Mammalia; Proboscidea; Elephantidae. The record is from Rfam by way of RNAcentral.